This 1386-nucleotide ribosomal RNA is filed under the name metagenome. RNAcentral's name for it is "bacterial SSU rRNA". It matches the Rfam family "Bacterial small subunit ribosomal RNA". The record is from RNAcentral.
AGAGUUUGAUCCUGGCUCAGGAUGAACGCUAGCGGCAGGCCUAAUACAUGCAAGUCGAACGAUACCAAUGGGCUUGCUCAUUGGGAAAGUGGCGCACGGGUGCGUAACGCGUAUGCAACCUACCUUAAUCAGGGGGAUAGCCCGAAGAAAUUCGGAUUAACACCGCAUAAAAACACAGUACAGCAUUGUACAAUGUUCAAAUAUUUAUAGGAUUAAGAUGGGCAUGCGUGUCAUUAGCUAGUUGGCGGGGUAACGGUCCACCAAGGCGACGAUGACUAGGGGAUCUGAGAGGAUGACCCCCCACACUGGUACUGAGACACGGACCAGACUCCUACGGGAGGCAGCAGUAAGGAAUAUUGGUCAAUGGAGGCAACUCUGAACCAGCCAUGCCGCGUGCAGGAAGACAGCCCUCUGGGUCGUAAACUGCUUUUAUUCGGGAAUAAACCACAUUACGUGUAAUGUGCUGAAUGUACCGAAGGAAUAAGGAUCGGCUAACUCCGUGCCAGCAGCCGCGGUAAUACGGAGGAUCCAAGCGUUAUCCGGAUUUAUUGGGUUUAAAGGGUGCGUAGGCGGCUUAUUAAGUCAGGGGUGAAAGACGGUGGCUCAACCAUCGCAGUGCCUUUGAUACUGAUGAGCUUGAAUACACUAGAGGUAGGCGGAAUGUGACAAGUAGCGGUGAAAUGCAUAGAUAUGUCACAGAACACCGAUUGCGAAGGCAGCUUACUAUGGUGUGAUUGACGCUGAGGCACGAAAGCGUGGGGAUCAAACAGGAUUAGAUACCCUGGUAGUCCACGCCCUAAACGAUGAAUACUCGCUGUUAGCGAUAUACAGUUAGCGGCUAAGCGAAAGCGUUAAGUAUUCCACCUGGGGAGUACGCCCGCAAGGGUGAAACUCAAAGGAAUUGACGGGGGCCCGCACAAGCGGAGGAGCAUGUGGUUUAAUUCGAUGAUACGCGAGGAACCUUACCCGGGCUUGAAAGUUAGUGAAUCAUUUAGAGAUAGAUGAGUCCGCAAGGACACGAAACUAGGUGCUGCAUGGCUGUCGUCAGCUCGUGCCGUGAGGUGUUGGGUUAAGUCCCGCAACGAGCGCAACCCCUAUGUUUAGUUGCCAGCACGUUAUGGUGGGGACUCUAAACAGACUGCCUGUGCAAACAGAGAGGAAGGAGGGGACGACGUCAAGUCAUCAUGGCCCUUACGUCCGGGGCUACACACGUGCUACAAUGGGUGGUACAGAGGGCAGCAAGCUGGCAACAGCAAGCGAAUCUCAAAAAGCCAUUCACAGUUCGGAUAGAGGUCUGCAACUCGACCUCUUGAAGUUGGAUUCGCUAGUAAUCGCGUAUCAGCAAUGACGCGGUGAAUACGUUCCCGGGCCUUGUACACACCGCCC